This 343-nucleotide unclassified non-coding RNA is filed under the name soil metagenome. RNAcentral describes it as "partial contains 5.8S ribosomal RNA, internal transcribed spacer 2, and large subunit ribosomal RNA". The stretch from base 1 to 120 matches the Rfam family "5.8S ribosomal RNA", at positions 35 to 154 of the family's 154-position model. The record is from RNAcentral.
GAUGAAGAACGUAGCGAAAUGCGAUACGUAAUGUGAAUUGCAGAAUUCAGUGAAUCAUCGAGUCUUUGAACGCACAUUGCGCCCCCUGGUAUUCCGGGGGGCAUGCCUGUCCGAGCGUCAUUGCUGCCCUCAAGCACGGCUUGUGUGUUGGGCCUCCGUCCUCCUCCCGGGGGACGGGCCCGAAAGGCAGCGGCGGCACCGCGUCCGGUCCUCGAGCGUAUGGGGCUUCGUCACCCGCUCUUGUAGGCCCGGCCGGCGCUUGCCGACACAUCAAUCUUUUUUCCAGGUUGACCUCGGAUCAGGUAGGGAUACCCGCUGAAUUUAAGCAUAUCAUAGCGGAGGA